UGGCUCAGUCAGUAAAGCAUCUGCCUGUAAUGCAGGAGACCCAGGUUCAAUCCCUGG
Molecule: transfer RNA, 57 nt
Filed under: Bos taurus (domestic cattle)
Lineage: Eukaryota; Metazoa; Chordata; Mammalia; Artiodactyla; Bovidae
Also listed under: 1 other name
Rfam family: tRNA
About the family: Transfer RNA (tRNA) molecules are approximately 80 nucleotides in length. Their secondary structure includes four short double-helical elements and three loops (D, anti-codon, and T loops). Further hydrogen bonds mediate the characteristic L-shaped molecular structure. tRNAs have two regions of fundamental functional importance: the anti-codon, which is responsible for specific mRNA codon recognition, and the 3' end, to which the tRNAs corresponding amino acid is attached (by aminoacyl-tRNA synthetases). tRNAs cope with the degeneracy of the genetic code in two manners: having more than one tRNA (with a specific anti-codon) for a particular amino acid; and 'wobble' base-pairing, i.e. permitting non-standard base-pairing at the 3rd anti-codon position.
Source: Rfam by way of RNAcentral